CCCUAGUUUAAAUUCCCGAAACUAGACGAGCUACUCCAAGACAGCCUUUUAUAAGGGCCAACCCGUCUCUGUGGCAAAAGAGUGGGAAGAUCUUUGAGUAGGGGUGAAAAACCUAUCGAGCCUAGUUAUAGCUGGUUGCUUAAGAAAUGGAUGUUAGUUCAGCCCCAUAAUAUUCUUAGGCCCAAGUACUUGACUUCAAAGUUGAGGAGCUAAGUAAUGUAUGAGAGUAAUCCAAAGGAGGUACAGCUCCCCUGGAAAAGAAAACAACCUUAAUAAGAGGGCAAAGGAUCAUAUUUAACCAUAAGGAUAAUUUCCCCAGUGGGCCUAAGAGCAGCCACCUGUAAAGAAAGCGUUAAAGCUCAAGAAGAACACAACCAAAAAUAAUGAUAUAACCUCCCCACCCCCUACUAUUAUUAAGCCCUCCCAUGUAAACAUGGGACAGAUAAUGCUAAAAUGAGUAAUAAGAGAGUAAAAGACUCUCUCCAAGCGCAAGUGUAAGUCAGGCCGGACAAACCACUGACAAAGAACGGACCCACGUAGCAAUGAGGGAAAAGAAGAAAAGAAAAACUAACAAGAAAAACCUACUAAAAGCAAAAACCCGUUAUUCCGACACAGGGGCGCAAAGCAAGGAAAGACUAAAAGAAAAGGAAGGAACUCGGCAAACAAAAAAUCUCGCCUGUUUACCAAAAACAUCGCCUCUAGCAAAUAAACAAGUAUUAGAGGUCCCGCCUGCCCAGUGACUAUAAGUUCAACGGCCGCGGUAUUAUGACUGCGCUAAGGUAGCGUAAUCACUUGUCUUCUAAAUAGAGACCAGUAUGAAUGGCACCACGAAGAUUUAACUGUCUCCCUACUCCAGUCAAUGAAAUUGAUCUAUCCGUGCAGAAGCGGAUAUAAAGACAUAAGACGAGAAGACCCUAUGGAGCUUUAGGAAUUAGGCAAACAUGUCAAGAAGCUAUAAACACAACGAAACAGCUUUAAACUUAGUGAAACAUGACCCAACUCCUUAGGUUGGGGCGACCCUGAGGCAAAAAACAGCCCUCAUAUGGAAAUAAAGGAAUGUACUAUUUAAGACCUUUACACCCACGAGCGACAACUCUAAGGAGCAGAACAUCUGACCAAAACUGACCCAGGAUUAAUUAACCUGAUUAUUGGACCAAGUUACCCUAGGGAUAACAGCGCAAUCUUCUCUUAGAGUUCAUAUCGACGAGAAGGCUUACGACCUCGAUGUUGGAUCAGGACAUCCUAAUGGUGCAACCGCUAUUAAGGGUUCG
Molecule: ribosomal RNA, 1271 nt
Filed under: Ariosoma major
Lineage: Eukaryota; Metazoa; Chordata; Actinopteri; Anguilliformes; Congridae
Description: partial 16S rRNA
Rfam family: Bacterial large subunit ribosomal RNA
Source: RNAcentral